This 402-nucleotide long non-coding RNA is filed under the name Elaeis guineensis (African oil palm). Its description in RNAcentral is "long non-coding RNA (EGUI_LNC060592)". The record is from RNAcentral. Lineage: Eukaryota; Viridiplantae; Streptophyta; Magnoliopsida; Arecales; Arecaceae.
UGAAAUCACUCAUGCACAAAUUAAGCCACGCCCUCCUCUUCUCACACCCUUAGUGGAUAGGGAUAAAUUGAUUUCCAUUUGAAUUCAAAAUUUGAUUUGAAUUCAAAUGUGCAAUUACUAAUCUUUAUCCUCUCACGUGGAUAAGAUGUUUAACAUUAUUUUAAAAGGAGGAAAAGAGUGGGGCGUGUGCAAGAAAAAUUUUGAAGAGAAAAUCUGGGCGUGAGGAAUCCUUGUGUGCAAGGUGAAGGUCUAUAUCCUUCCGAGAGAAAAAGAAAGAAAAGAAAGAAAAAGUGUGCGCAGGGUUUCAGUGAGUUCUUCAGGGUUUUAGCCUGGAGUUCGGGAAGUGAGAAGGUGAGCUACGAGUAUCGUGAGCCCACCAAAUUUUAGGAAGAUCUUCAACAU